UACAGAGGGGGCAAGCGUUGUUCGGAAUUACUGGGCGUAAAGCGCACGUAGGCGGCUUUUUAAGUCGGUGGUGAAAUCCUGGAGCUCAACUCCAGAACUGCCUUCGAUACUGAGAGUCUUGAGUCCGGGAGAGGUGAGUGGAACUGCGAGUGUAGAGGUGAAAUUCGUAGAUAUUCGCAAGAACACCAGUGGCGAAGGCGGCUCACUGGCCCGGUACUGACGCUGAGGUGCGAAAGCGUGGGGAGCAAACAGG
Molecule: ribosomal RNA, 253 nt
Filed under: uncultured bacterium
Lineage: Bacteria
Description: partial 16S ribosomal RNA
Rfam family: Bacterial small subunit ribosomal RNA
Source: RNAcentral